GAUGAACGCUGGCGGCGUGCCUAAUACAUGCAAGUCGAGCGAACAGACGAGGAGCUUGCUUCUCUGAUGUUAGCGGCGGACGGGUGAGUAACACGUGGAUAACCUACCUAUAAGACUGGGAUAACUUCGGGAAACCGGAGCUAAUACCGGAUAACAUUUUGAACCGCAUGGUUCAAAAGUGAAAGACGGUGUUGCUGUCACUUAUAGAUGGAUCCGCGCUGCAUUAGCUAGUUGGUAAGGUAACGGCUUACCAAGGCAACGAUGCAUAGCCGACCUGAGAGGGUGAUCGGCCACACUGGAACUGAGACACGGUCCAGACGCCUACGGGAGGCAGCAGUAGGGAAUCUUCCGCAAUGGGCGAAAGCCUGACGGAGCAACGCCGCGUGAGUGAUGAAGGUCUUCGGAUCGUAAAACUCUGUUAUGAGGGAAGAACAUAUGUGUAAGUAACUGUGCACAUCUUGACGGUACCUAAUCAGAAAGCCACGGCUAACUACGUG
Molecule: ribosomal RNA, 497 nt
Filed under: uncultured bacterium
Lineage: Bacteria
Description: partial 16S ribosomal RNA
Rfam family: Bacterial small subunit ribosomal RNA
Source: RNAcentral